This is a long non-coding RNA of Carassius gibelio (silver crucian carp), 5634 nucleotides long. RefSeq lists it as uncharacterized. The transcript is spliced from 3 exons. The record is from RefSeq and is a predicted model, not a curated record. NCBI's taxonomy places the organism in Eukaryota, Metazoa, Chordata, Actinopteri, Cypriniformes, Cyprinidae.
UGUGUGAACAAAAAUGCCUUGUUGAUGUCAGAGGUCAGAGGAGAAUGAGCAGACUGGUAAGAGAUGAUAGAAAGGCAACAGUAACUCAAAUAACCACUUGUUACAACCAAGGGAGAAUACUAUCUCUGAACAAUGCUCCUAUCAGCUAAGAACUGGAAACUGAGGCUACAGUUUGCAAAGGCUCACCAAAAUUAAACAAUAGAAGAUUGGAAAAUAACGUUGUCUGGUCUGAUGAGUAUGGACUUCUGCUGCAAAAUUCAGAUGGUAGGGUCAGAAUUUGGCAUUAAGAAUAUUAAAGCAUGGAUCCAUCCUGUCUUGUCUCAACGGUCAGGCUGCUGGUGGUGGUGUAAUGGUGUGGGGGAUAUUUUCUUAGCACAAUUUGGGCUCCUUAGUACCAAUUGAGCAUUGUUUAAAUGCCACGGCCUACCUGAGUGUCGUAGCUGACCAUGUCCAUCUCUUUAUGACUACAGUGUACCUAUCUUCUGAUGGCUACUUCCAACAGGAUAAUGCACCAUGUCACAAAGCUCAAAUCAUCUCAGACUGGUUUCUUGUACAUGAAAAUGAAUCACUUUACUCAAAUGGCCUCCACAGUCAACAGAUCUCAAUCCAAUAGAGCAACUUUGAGAUUUGGAGGAACGAGAGAUUCACAUAAUGAUGCAUGAUGCUAUCAUGUCAAUAUGGACCAAAAUCUCAGAGGAAUGUUUCCAACACCUUGUUAAAUCUAUUAAUUUAUUUAGUCAUCAGGUGUUGAGAUGAAGAUAAUUUGUACAGUAGGACUUACAAAACAUCUGGCAUUACAAGUGCUUAAAAGAAAUAAAGAUAAGGCUAUGAACAGGAGAAAAGUAUAAAGGGUUGGUAUCACGUGAGCCCAUGCAUGGUGAUGUAGGAGCAGGCAUAAACACUUCCUCUAAGAUUGUUUUAAGAAUGAACGCCACUCAUUUGUGGCAGGAAGUUUGGCUUCCCUCAUGUGAUCAAGUGUUGAUAUGAAAGUAACACAGAUUUGAGCAUUCAAGUUCAUUCUAGUUCAUGACCUCUGCUUCAAGAAAAAAGGCUCUUCGACUUAUAGCAUUAGUGCCUUUGUGCUCAGAGAAUGAAGGAUCAGUAUAAUGUUGUUAAUAUAUGAACAUCCACAUGUCUAUAUGAUAGUCUGCUGAAGUCUGUUCAUAGUAAAGUCUUUCUUUCUAUUCUUGGUAUCAUGUGCUCAAAUGCUGGUGUCUUGCUCAGACAUCAGACUUUCCUUCCUCAGAUCGAAAGUCUGUGGCUCCUCUCUACUCCCAGAUAUAAAUUUCAAAAAAGGACCCUUGUAAUCCUGAAGACCUUGAUUAUCUGCUUGAGCCCGUGCUUGACCUUCUGGACCUACAUCACAUUAACAUAAGGAACCAAAAAACUAGCCCAAACUAACUGCAUUUCUAAGGUGGGUUCCCUUGUAAAAAUCACAUCCCAGGCACUUUAUUUACAUUAUUGUGUUCGAACAUGAAAAGCAGCCCGUGGUAACAGUGAUAAAGUAUCCCAAUUCCACAAGAGAACCACAGAUUUGGCAACACUGUAGACAAAUGGAGACCAGAUUCAAUGAUCUCACUGCUGAGAAAAGCCUGUUACAGAGCAACCUCAACUCUUCAAAUUAGAAGAAACUGGACUUCUGCUGGAGACCAGAGUCAAUGAUCUUACGAAAGGCCAGUUGGAGACCAGAUUCAAUGAUCUCACUGCUGAGAAAAGCCAGUUACAGAGCAACUUCAACUCUUCAAAUUGGAACAUACUGGAGCUGGAGACCAGAGUCAAUGAUCUUACGAAAGGCCAGUUGGAGACCAGAUUCAAUGAUCUCACUGCUGAGAAAAGCUAGUUACAGAGCAAUCCCAACUCUUCAAAUUAGAAGAAACUGGACUUCGGCUGGAGACCAGAGUCAAUGAUCUUACGAAAGGCCAGUUCGAGACCACCAGAUUCAAUGAUCUCACUGCUGAGAAAAGCCAGUUACAGAGCAACUUCAACUCUUCAAAUUAGAAGAAACUGGAGCUGGAGACCAGAGUCAAUGAUCUUACGAAAGGUCAGUUGGAGACCAGAUUCAAUGAUCUCACUGCUGAGAAAAACCAGUUACAGAGCAACUUCAACUCUUCAAAUUAGAAGAAACUGGAGCUGGAGACCAGAGUCAAUGAUCUUACGAAAGGUCAGUUGGAGACCAGAUUCAAUGAUCUCACUGCUGAGAAAAGCCAGUUACAGAGCAACUUCAACUCUUCAAAUUAGAAGAAACUGGAGCUGGAGACCAGAGUCAAUGAUCUUACGAAAGGUCAGUUGGAGACCAGAUUCAAUGAUCUCACUGCUGAGAAAAACCAGUUACAGAGCAACUUCAACUCUUCAAAUUAGAAGAAACUGGAGCUGGAGACCAGAGUCAAUGAUCUUACGAAAGGUCAGUUGGAGACCAGAUUCAAUGAUUUCACUGCUGAGAAAAGCCAGUUACAGAGCAACCCCAACUCUUCAAAUUAGAAGAAACUGGACUUCGGCUGGAGACCAGAGUCAAUGAUCUUACGAAAGGCCAGUUGGAGACCAGAUUCAAUGAUCUCACUGCUGAGAAAAGCCAGUUACAGAGCAACUUCAACUCUUCAAAUUAGAAGAAACUGGAGCUGGAUACCAGAGUCAAUGAUCUUACGAAAGGUCAGUUGGAGACCAGAUUCAAUGAUCUCACUGCUGAGAAAAGCCAGUUACAGAGCAACCCCAACUCUUCAAAUUAGAAGAAACUGGACUUCGGCUGGAGACCAGAGUCAAUGAUCUUACGAAAUGCCAGUUGGAGACCAGAUUCAAUGAUCUCACUGCUGAGAAAAGCCAGUUACAGAGCAACUUCAACUCUUCGAAUUAGAAGAAACUGGAGCUGGAUACCAGAGUCAAUGAUCUUACGAAAGGUCAGUUGGAGACCAGAUUCAAUGAUCUCACUGCUGAGAAAAACCAGUUACAGAGCAACUUCAACUCUUCAAAUUAGAAGAAACUGGAGCUGGAGACCAGAGUCAAUAAUAUUAUGAAAGGUCAGUUGGAGACCACCAGAAUCAAUGAUACCACUGCUGAGAAAAGCCAGUUACAGAGCAACUUCAACUCUUCAAAUUAGAAGAAACUUGAGCUGGAGACCAGAGUCAAUAAUAUUACGAAAGGUCAGUUGGAGACCACCAGAUUCAAUGAUCUCACUGCUGAGAAAAGACAGUUACACAGCAACUUCAAAUCUUUAAGUCAGAAGAAUCUUGUUGAAAUCAAUAAGGUUCAUAUCUUCAUCCAUCAAGGACAGGGUGAGGAUUGGUUUGUCUGACAGAGAGCAGGAGGGCAACUUGAAAUGGGUGGAUAAUUCACCACUAAAACAACGAAACAAAACCCAGAGACUGUGUGAUUCCUCAGAUCCAUGACAAACGAAAAUACACUACAUUUGGCGACCCCGGCAGGACUUGAAAAGAGCAGCAGAGUGGACGACCGCUUUUGAGCUGACUGAUGAGCAACACACACUCACAGUGGUGGUCACCAUAUAAUAAGGUAAGCAUUUUUGCUUAUAUAAUUAGUGUGUGUUGUUGGCUGGUCAGUUCUGAGAGGUAAGGUCACUUAAAAUCUGCUCUUCCAAAUUUAGAACUAAUUAAAUAAAUACAAAUGGGGGGUUUUGUUUCCAGAAGAAAAACUGCAUACACAUAUUUGGUUUACUGAAAGGUCUUUUGGAAAAGGCCUGAUUUUAAUCUGGAUAGUGUAGGCAGAAAUACAUUGCAUGCAAUGGUCUGUGUUCAUUGUGGGCUUGCCCUAUAAGAGACAGCAAUACACGUGAGCCAGAUGUAGUAUGGAAAGCGCGGAAAAGUCCUUUGGCUACCGCUCUGUAUAUGUGAGAUACAGAGGUCUGAAACGGGAAGGCAGAAAUCCUGUAAAGUACUGCUUUUUACUGUGUUGAGGAAGUGUAUCAGUGAAAGAGCGAGUAGAGCUGACAGGUCACUCAGAGGAGUGUAGAGUACUCUGUAUUUAUGUACGUUUUAAUGUAAGUGUCUGUGUGACUGGCUGUGUUUGUAUGAGAAAAUUCUAUAUCUGGUGGAGCAAGAGGUGCUCUCCGCUCCUGGACCAUCACUUGAGAGUGAUUAGGUUACAGAGACAGAGUGGCUGGUGUUAAGAAAAGAUGAGUGUAGGAGCCCUAAAACAAAGUUAAUUGUAUCAAUGUUGUUUUAGAGAAAAAAUAAAUAAAAAUGUUCCAAGAAAUGGACUGUGCAGAAUAUAAUAAUAAUAAUAAUAAUAAUAUAUUAAGUAAAAUAAGAUUUUAAUUUAUUAUUUAAUAACUUGUCUUAAUAGAUGAAUUUAAAAGAUGCACAUGCUUAAAACUUUAUAUCUAAUAUGUGAAGACAUCUUAAAUUUGUAUCUUGUUAUCCCUGGGACACAGUAUGAAAAUUAAUCCAUUACAGAGUUUCAGAGAUUGGGCUUGAGUUAAAAAAAAUAAAAUAAAAUAAGAAUAACUGGUGUAGUGCAAUGUGGAAUGAGAGCAAGAUUGGGUGACCAAGUUAAUGGGAAUUUUGAUUCAAAAGCCAUAGGCAUUUUACAAUAGGAAGGGAACUAGUUGCUUAAAUAUUUAAAUUAAAUUAUUUUAUUUACAAUAAUAGGAAUUAUUUUAUGUUGGUUAGGAAACAUUAAUUCACCAAUACCAGAUUAUUCUGAAUCAUGUAUGCAAAUAUAGAAGAAAAACUGUAUGUAUGCAAACAUAGAAGAAAAACUAUGAUUGAAGUCUUUAUUUUACCAUACGCAUGUCAUGCUGUUAUAAAAGGAAGGUUUAUAUUUUUUUAUUGCAGUAUAAUUAGAUAAUAAAGGUAGCUGAUUUCUGCAUUUUGCAAAGAAGAAAAAAAAUGCUUGCUAUUUUUUUGCAAUGAAGAACUUGCUUUACUAACAUAGAAUAAGAGAACUGCUGUUUUCAACCAGAUGAUUUUAUUUUUACUAAGGUAGCACUGAAAGAGGAGGUUGAAAAGUGAAAAUCAUACAAAGAGCUUACUGCUCAGAAACAAUUUGGUCAGAAGUUACAAAGAUACAUUUGAUUAAUGCAGUCUCUGAGUGUGAAAAUUUGAUGACUUCUGGAACAGUGCCUUGACAAAAAGACGCAAUGAACUGGAGUCUGUCGAGAAAUGGCAAAGCAGCAAACACAGCUGCAAAGAGAAAAAGAGGGAGGGGCUGAUGGACGCUAUACCCUCCUGAAAGAGAAGAACACACUUCAGCAAGGAGAAAGACUGAAUUAAAGCAGGAAAAGGUGAAUCUUUCACUUGAGACUUUUCAUGAGGGUGAAGAGAACAUUGUGAACUGCAGAACUCUGGCAGAAAGCAACCAGAAGCCAGACUGAGAAGAAGCAGAGAAACAACGGAGACCAUACACCACAACAUCACAGACUGAUGACCCAGUACAACAGCCCAGGCUGAUGAUCUAACCAGAAGGACUUCCAUCCCUUCAGUGCACAGGUGCUGCAUAUUCAAUGAACACUAUAGAGACCGCUAACUCUCUCAAUCUACUUUUCAAUAGGUACCAGUCCAGCCUUAUGUCUUAAAGAAAAAAUAAUUUUGACAGACAGAAGUGAGUACUUGACUCACCAAUCAGAUAAACAUGGAGCUGGAUUUGGCAUAGUAAGGCCUAUUUCAUUAACCAACUAGGGGAAAA